Molecule: ribosomal RNA, 490 nt
Filed under: uncultured bacterium
Lineage: Bacteria
Description: partial 16S ribosomal RNA
Rfam family: Bacterial small subunit ribosomal RNA
Source: RNAcentral
GAUGAACGCUGGCUACAGGCUUAACACAUGCAAGUCGAGGGGAAACGACGGGGAAGCUUGCUUCCCCGGGCGUCGACCGGCGCACGGGUGAGUAACGCGUAUCCAACCUGCCUCUGACUGAGGGAUAACCCGUCGAAAGUCGGCCUAAUACCCCAUGGCAUCGUCUGCGGGCAUCCAACGACGAUUAAAGAUUUCCUCGGUCAGGGAUGGGGAUGCGUCUGAUUAGCUUGUUGGCGGGGUAACGGCCCACCAAGGCUACGAUCAGUAGGGGUUCUGAGAGGAAGGUCCCCCACAUUGGAACUGAGACACGGUCCAAACGCCUACGGGAGGCAGCAGUGAGGAAUAUUGGUCAAUGGGCGGGAGCCUGAACCAGCCAAGUAGCGUGCAGGAUGACGGCCCUAUGGGUUGUAAACUGCUUUUAUGCGGGGAUAAAGUGAGGGACGUGUCCUUCAUUGCAGGUACCGCAUGAAUAAGGACCGGCUAAUUCCGU